RNAcentral lists this unclassified non-coding RNA (217 nucleotides) under uncultured Thelephoraceae. RNAcentral's name for it is "sequence contains ITS2". Lineage: Eukaryota; Fungi; Basidiomycota; Agaricomycetes; Thelephorales; Thelephoraceae. The record is from RNAcentral.
ACACCUCAACUCUCAUGGUCUGCCAUGAUGAGCUUGGACUUUGGGGGUCUUGCUGGCCUAUCGUCAGCUCCUCUCAAAUGGAUCAGCUUCCCAGUGUUUGGUGGCGUCACAGGUGUGAUAACUAUCUACGCUUGUGGCUUUCUGCCAUUAACCUUCAGCAAUGGAGGUUCGCUGGAGCUCACAGAUGUCUCUCCUUGGCGAGGACAGCUUUUUGAAC